GAUGAACGCUGGCGGCGUGCCUAAUACAUGCAAGUCGAGCGAACGGACGAGAAGCUUGCUUCUCUGAUGUUAGCGGCGGACGGGUGAGUAACACGUGGAGAACCUACCUAAAAGACUGGGAUAAUUUCGGGAAACCGGAGAUAAUACCGGAUAAUAUUUUGAACCGCAUGGUUCAAAAGUGAAAGACGGUCUUGCUGUCACUUAUAGAUGGAUCCGCGCUGCAUUAGCUAGUUGGUAAGGUAACGGCUUACCAAGGCAACGAUGCACAGCCGCCCUGAGAGGGUGAUCGGCCACACUGGAACUGAGACACGGUCCAGACUCCUACGGGAGGCAGCAGUAGGGAAUCUUCCGCAAUGGGCGAAAGCCUGACGGAGCAACGCCGCGUGAGUGAUGAAGGUCUUCGGAUCGUAAAACUCUGUUAUUAGGGAAGAACAUAUGUGUAAGUAACUGUGCACAUCUUGACGGUACCUAAUCAGAAAGCCACGGCUAACUACGUG
Molecule: ribosomal RNA, 497 nt
Filed under: uncultured bacterium
Lineage: Bacteria
Description: partial 16S ribosomal RNA
Rfam family: Bacterial small subunit ribosomal RNA
Source: RNAcentral